AUAGAGCAACAGCUUCUAUGCAGUUUUAGGUCAGCCCCGGUAAUCUUCUUCCGUCGCCAAACAGUACGAAGAUUAUCGGGGUUUUGUCUU
Molecule: antisense RNA, 90 nt
Filed under: Citrobacter freundii
Lineage: Bacteria; Pseudomonadati; Pseudomonadota; Gammaproteobacteria; Enterobacterales; Enterobacteriaceae
Description: CopA-like RNA
Rfam family: CopA-like RNA
About the family: In several groups of bacterial plasmids, antisense RNAs regulate copy number through inhibition of replication initiator protein synthesis. These RNAs are characterised by a long hairpin structure interrupted by several unpaired residues or bulged loops.
Source: RNAcentral